GAAAAAUUGAACGAACAAUGUCAAAUGAAAAAUGGUUAGGCAAAUCAUAAACUAUGCAUAUUUAGAAAUAUUCAUGUAAAUGUUCAAAAUUUCAAGUUUCCAGGGAAAUAUAAAAUCAACAUUUUCGACUAGAACAAGGCCUUCAAAUUUAUAGGUUUCAGAAGGCCAACAUAACCAGAGACAUCAAGAAAUAGAACCUACUACAUUAACUGCAUAAUUAAGUUACGAAUAAAACUCAGACACAAAAUACAGCAGAUAAUCUAUUCAAUUGGAGUGGAAAAAUUCUUCUCUGCCGACAAAUUUGCCGAGACCAAUGUUUUUCUAGGAAUAUUGAUAUAACCGUGCAAGUCAAGGACUCAAAAGCUACUUGUGCUCCAACUUCCACACAGCAAUACCCAUCAAGCUCUUUUCCUCAUUGCUAACUAUAAAUAUCUGCAUCAUAUGAUAGUAACACCUUCAAGAAACUGUAUUAUACAAAGAUCAAAGUCGCACAAACAUAAAUGGGUAAAAAACAACUCGACAUGAGAGUAUCAUUGGCCACUAAUAGUCUACAUCAAAAUGCGAGUUGUUGCCACAUAAUAUAUCCACGCUAGGUUAUAACAACACACUCAGCAUUAUCAAUCCUCAACAUGCAUGAUUCAAGCACACAAAAGUUAAUCUUUUACCAGUGUAUUCAAGACCAUUUAAUGGUCUACAAAAGUUGACAUGGCUCCAUAAACUGAAUAUUUUACAAUCAUUUCCAAUAGACAAGGUAAAAUGGUUUAAAUGAACCCCCACACAAAAAUACCAAAUGCCAAUAAACUCCUCCACGAAUUGGUCCAGGCAAAUAAAAAUUAAAACCUUUUUGGCGUUCCCGUUAGUUAUUUAGCAUAUUCAAGCAAAUACUGAUGGAAUGCUAAAUUCU
RNAcentral lists this long non-coding RNA (904 nucleotides) under Olea europaea subsp. europaea. Lineage: Eukaryota; Viridiplantae; Streptophyta; Magnoliopsida; Lamiales; Oleaceae. The record is from RNAcentral.